Molecule: ribosomal RNA, 253 nt
Filed under: uncultured bacterium
Lineage: Bacteria
Description: partial 16S ribosomal RNA
Rfam family: Bacterial small subunit ribosomal RNA
Source: RNAcentral
GACAGAGGUCCCGAGCGUUAGGCGGAAUCACUGGGCUUAAAGCGUGUGUAGGCGGACUUCUAAGUACCUUGUGAAAUCCCACGGCUUAACCGUGGAACGGCUGGGUAUACUGGUUGUCUUGGGCCAUCUAGGGGCUACUGGAACAAACGGUGGAGCGGUGAAAUGCGUAGAUAUCGUUUGGAACGCCAAUGGUGAAAACAAGUAGCUGGGGAUGUGCCGACGCUGAGACACGAAAGCCAGGGGAGCGAACGGG